This 758-nucleotide ribosomal RNA is filed under the name uncultured bacterium. RNAcentral's name for it is "bacterial SSU rRNA". It matches the Rfam family "Bacterial small subunit ribosomal RNA", at positions 28 to 776 of the family's 1533-position model. The record is from RNAcentral.
GAUGAACGCUAGCUACCGUCUUAACACAUGCAAGUCGAGGGGCAUCAGGAAGAAAGCUUGCUUUCUUUGCCGGCGACCGGCGCACGGGUGAGUAACACGUAUCCAACCUGCCCUUUACUUGGGGAUAGCCUUUCGAAAGAAAGAUUAAUACCCGAUGGCAUAAUGAUUCCGCAUGGUUUCAUUAUUAAAGGAUUCCGGUAAAGGAUGGGGAUGCGUUCCAUUAGGUUGUUGGUGAGGUAACGGCUCACCAAGCCUUCGAUGGAUAGGGGUUCUGAGAGGAAGGUCCCCCACAUUGGAACUGAGACACGGUCCAAACUCCUACGGGAGGCAGCAGUGAGGAAUAUUGGUCAAUGGGCGGUAGCCUGAACCAGCCAAGUAGCGUGAAGGAUGAAGGCUCUAUGGGUCGUAAACUUCUUUUAUAUAAGAAUAAAGUGCAGUAUGUAUACUGUUUUGUAUGUAUUAUAUGAAUAAGGAUCGGCUAACUCCGUGCCAGCAGCCGCGGUAAUACGGAGGAUCCGAGCGUUAUCCGGAUUUAUUGGGUUUAAAGGGAGCGUAGGUGGACUGGUAAGUCAGUUGUGAAAGUUUGCGGCUCAACCGUAAAAUUGCAGUUGAUACUGUCAGUCUUGAGUACAGUAGAGGUGGGCGGAAUUCGUGGUGUAGCGGUGAAAUGCUUAGAUAUCACGAAGAACUCCGAUUGCGAAGGCAGCUCACUGGACUGCAACUGACACUGAUGCUCGAAAGUGUGGGUAUCANACAGG